GCGGCUUAGCAGAGACUAUUGGGAAAGAGACAGCGAACGGAGGGCAACCGACUGUUGGGAAGGCUUGUGGGAUACAGCAGGGGAAAGACCUAUUUGAUAUGAAGUCACCCUAGGGCCAAGUCCAAGGAAGAGUUGUUAUAGGCUAGCUUUAUGUUGGGCCGAAAGGAGAGGAUUGAACUCAGUCUUGGGCCGACUUGCGCGUGUGGUGUUCUUUAAGGCGAAAAACAAAA
This 230-nucleotide unclassified non-coding RNA is filed under the name Hevea brasiliensis (rubber tree). The record is from RNAcentral. Lineage: Eukaryota; Viridiplantae; Streptophyta; Magnoliopsida; Malpighiales; Euphorbiaceae.